AUGGUCCUUUGCUUGCUGUAUAAAACUUCACAUAUUCUGGGCAAAGUGUAGAAUCUUAGUUGUCAAAUCGAAAUUUGAUUUGAGAAUCAAAUAAUAUAUUAAUUAAACAUAGUAUAUGUUCUAAAAAAUAAGUAAAAAAAGUAUAUCAUAAAGACAUAUUAUUUAUGUAAUUAGAAAUAUGCUUUAUACUAGAAUUAGAUUAUAUAUUUUCAUUUUAUAAAUUAUAAACUCUUGAAAAAUAGAGAAUGAUUAUUAUUAUGCAUGUGUUGAAACUUUCAUUUAAAAUUGAUCAGUAAAAAAAUGAUAAACGGAAUAGAAAAAUGUAGCUGGAAUUUUGAAAGGCGGUUUCUGACCUGGGCUUGUCUGCAACUCCACACUAGCAAAGCUCAUUUGACAAAGGUCUGAUAUCAAUUUGUCAAGAAUAAGAAUUGAGAAUUGGAAAAAGGGAUGAGAGACAAGAAGAAACAAAGAUGAGAAGAAGAAUGGGUCUAUGUGAGAAGAGAUCAAGAGAAUAGACAGAUUGAGAUGAGAUAAGAAAAUAGAGUAGAGAGAGAGAGUGAGAGUGAGAGAGACAGAGAAGGAAUUAUCCUAUAUUCUCACAGCUCCUAUCCUCUUAUUAUUAUUAUUAUUUUAACCUCUCUUGCCUUCACCUAGGGUGUUAAUAUUAUUCAUUAUCCCAAAUAUUCUCUAUGUAACGGUCAGCUGUCUGUUUGUGGGAAAUCGUCCCACAUUACGGCAAAUCAAAAUUAUAUAAAAUAGGUAGCACGAAACUAUUAAAUAACUUGAGUUAACUAUUUUGGGUCAAGUGGAAGUGGAUUCAAAAAUUAUUUGGGUCAGUUUGGGCCGGACUGUUUCAAUUGGUAUCAGAGCCACCUUGGGUCAGACAAAUUGUGCAAAACUAGUAGACCUGCGAGGAAAGGGCUACCCGUGUGAGACGAGGUGGAGCCGCUCGAGGUACUAGCGAACCACAAUAUCCGAGGGUCCGGUCCUGGUUUAGCAAUUGUAUUCGAUUUAGCUACCCGUGUGAGAUGAGGUGGAGUUGCCCGAGGUACUAGCGAACCACAAUAUCCGAGGGUCUGGUUCUGAUUUAGCAAUUGUAUUCGAUUUAGUUGCAAUGAGGACGUCACAAAUUUAGCGAGACCGAGUGUAACAGUCAGCUGUCUGCUUGUGGAAAAUCGUCCCACAUCGGCGGAUUACGGCCUGAGGUACUAGCGAACCACAAUACCCGAGAGUCUGGUCCUAGUUUAGCAAUUGUAUUCGAUUUAGUUGCGACGAGGACGUUACAAAUUUAGCGAGACCGAGUGUAAUGGUCAGCUGUCUGCUUGUGGAAAAUCGUCCCACAUCGGCGGAUUACGGCAAAUUGAAAUUGUAGAUAAAAGUUAGCCCGAAAUUACUAAAUAACUUGGAUUAACCAUUUUGAGAUAAGUGGAAGUGGGUCUAAAAGUUAUUUGGGCCAGUUUGGGCCGAGCUGUUUCACUCCGUUUCUUGUUUUUUUGUUGAGUUUUUGUGGUUAUUUACUCAUUUUGAUGAUCGUGUUUAAGCACAGUGAAGGAAUCAUCUGUUGUUAUUUAUUUAUUUAUUCUUGUGUUGUAACCAAAUGCCACUGGAUAUCAUCUCUCUUCUCAGUCUUGAGGUAAUUGGAUGUUUAGAAAUCUAAUCAUCUGCUUGCUUGCUUGUUUCUGCUUCAAAAACUUAUUGAUCACAGUUGUGUCUAGUCCUCAUUCGCACAAUUCAUUUCUAGCCAAGGGUUUGAUUCUUGGAUAGUUGGAUUCUACAAAUUCUACUAGCUAGACUGAGGUCAUACGCUAAAUCGGGCACACAAAUGACGUGUGAUAGCUACACAAUGACAGUGUCAUCAAUCGGGCUCAGUUUGACCAAAUUGAAAAAGAUUUUUGUUUUUUGGGUGUUGAUUUGGGGUGGGGGGGGAGGGAUGCACUGAUUGGACAACAAUUAAGAAUAAUGGCCUAAUUGACUUUUGAGGUAAAGGUUAAGGGGGCUGCAAGGGCUUUUGGCCUUUAUGAAAUAACAUUAAGAAAUAAAAAUAUUGAUGCAAGAUAAUAAUGGAUAUGUUUUUUAUUUUUUUUUAUUUUUUUUAUGUUAUAUAUGUAAAAUGUGGGUGAGAAUCCUUUUUUUUUUCCUCAGUAAAUAAUUACUUGGGUUGUUUAGAGUGUCAAUGUAAUUUGCAUUUGAUUAACAUUUUGUUAUAAUAUGAAUUUGAGUAAUUUUGCUUCUUUGUUUUGGGAAAUUAACUAUUUAGUUUAUAUGGUUUAGUGAAACUAGCUGCUUAAGUCCUUUUAUUUUUAAGAAAUACACUAAAUAGUCCUCGUCUUUUCAGGGUGUUAAUCAUUUAGUUCCUGUAUUUUCAAAUUGGUAACUAUUUAGUUCCUCUGUUUGUUUAACCUGUCAACAAUGUAUGGAAUGACUGAAAUGCCCUUCUUUCUAAUUAGUAUAUGUAAUUUCAAAACAUAACUAUUCAAUUCCUGUAAUUUUAAAAUCAUAAUUAUUCAAUCCUUGUAAUUUCAAAAUCAUAAUUGUUUUAUCCUUAUAAUUUUAAAAUAACAACUAUUUAGUUUCUGCAAUUCAUAAGAGGAACUAAAUAGUUAAUAGUUUGAUAAUAGAGGGACCAAGUAGUUAGUUUCAUUACACCACAGGGACUAAAUAAUAAUUUUUCCUUUUUUUUUUUUUGCUUUUUCCCUCGUAAACAUAAUAGCAUUAGCUGCAACAGUUACAUGUGACACCCUAAAAUAGUCAGAUAACAACCUUGCUGCACCAUUUCUUGUUAAGUUGUGUAGAACUUCCAUUCAAUUGGAUAGGCAUUUUAGAAUUACCUAAGGCAGCUAUUGCACCUACUCCAUGUUAUAGCUCCUCCAUUCUUUUCAUUCCUUUGUAUGAGACAGAAAUUCAAAGUGGUAAUUUUGUAAACUCCGAUCUAUGUAAUGGGGUAUUUGAUAGAGAAUAGGAAUUUAAGCAAAAUUAACAGAUAAGAAAGGAAAAGAAAUUGUAUUGAUGAGCAGAGAAUUGCCAAACAAAUCCAGGAGAAUAAGCUCUCCCCUGAGCAGGAAUAAUUUCCAGCUCCCAAGACACAAGAAAAAUACUCGAUAACCUCCCAUUUUGUCUUAUUCCUAUAUAUAUAUAUAUGGCUAUUAGUAAUAUUUCUGCAUGAGUCAAUGCCUCGAUAUAACUAACUUUGACCCUCUUGAUUCUCUGGCCUUUUCUUUGAUCUUCUCGAAUAUACUAUCCACACGCCUUUGGCCCUACCCUUUAGUUGCUCAUAUGUAACAUUGCCAUCGUCUUGAAAAUCAGCCUUGUGCUGAAGGCAAAAAUCUGGAAACUGCCCGUUAAUGUCUGCAUCAUCUAACCAAGUCGUAUCUUCCAUAGAUUGGUCGUGCCAUUUGAUCAAACUCUGAGAAACAGUUGGCCAUUUAUAUUAAUUACUCUGCGAUCCAAAACCUUCUCAAGAAAUAGAGGCGAUGGUGCAUCAACAUCUAAUUCUGAAGGUAGCUGGUUGGUGGAUGCAUGAUCACCAAUCAUUUUUUUAAGUUUAAGACACAUGAAAAACAGGAUGGACGUUGGCUUCCAAAGGCAACCCCAGUUUAUAAGCUACUGAACUAAUGCGACUAAUAAUUUUGAAAGGGCCAUAGUAUCGGGGAGCUAGUCUAUGAGCAAUCCGGAAAGAAACUGAUUGUUGUCUGUGGGGUCGCAAUUUAACAAGCACCAAGUCACCCACCUGGAAAACAUCUAUGCUUUUCUUAUCAGCUUGGUCCUUCAUAGCAGAUUGGGUUUUCUGAAGGUUAAAUUGGAGCUGACGAAGGAUCUCAUCUCUAUCUAACAAAACUUGAGACACAAUGGCCACCGUUGUUUUACCCGGUAAGAAGUGGAGUCUUAUCGGAGUAGUGUGGGGGGUGGUCUGUUGUAAAUCACAUGAUACGGAGUCUGUUGAAUUGCACUGUGGAAUCUGGUAUUGUAUCAAUAUUCCGCCCAAUGAAGCCAAUGUACCCAACUUUUUGUAUCAAUAUUCCGCCCAAUGAAGCCAAUGUACCCAACUUUUUGAUUGUUCUGAAGUAAAACAAUGUAGAUAUUGCUCCAAACUCUUAUUUUUUUGUGAUCUCCAUUUGGCCAUUCAUAUGUGGAUAGUAUGCCGAGCUCAUCUUGAGUCUCAUGCCCAUGAGAUGGAAAUUUCAGUACAAAAGUGGCUGAGAAAGAUGGAUCACGAUCACUAACAAUUGUCGUCGGCACCCCAUAAAGUUGAACAACUUCCUUUACAAACAAUUCGACUACUACAAAUAUACAAUCAAUUCCAUUAGAUUUGGAUAAUCCCAUGACAAAAUCCAUGAAAAUAUACUCCCAUUUACUAUGAGGAAUUGGCAAGGGAUGCAACAACCCAACAGGAGACAUAGCUGCAAUAUUAUUUUUUUUGACAAACCACAUAGAAAGCAACAAAUUUUUGAACGAAUUUCAUCAUACCACGCCAAUAUAAUCCUGUUGCCAGCCGUUGAUAGUUGCAAAAGGCACCAGAAUGACCCCUGUGGAGUGGUAUGGAAUUCUGAGAUCAAUUUGGGCACCCAAGGUGAAGAAGCAGGAAUGACUAAUCGGCCUUUGUAAAAGAGAUGUUACUGGAUGAGAGAAAAAUGGGGAUAAUUUUGAGAACGAGAUUACAUUGUUGAGAUUAUAGGCUGUAAUUCUGGAUUAGCAUGAACAACCAUCUCCAAUUCCUCUAAUUUGAGCCAAUGUGGAUGUGUCAUGGCAAAACAAAUUGAAUCCGAAUCCUCCUGCCUAGACAAUGCAUCUAGACAAUGCAUCUGUUGCUUGAUUAAUGUGUCUAGUCUUGUAUUCCAUCACAAAUUUAUAACCUAGCAAUUUGGUGAUCCAACUCUGUUGAGCUGGCGUGAUAAUUUUCUGUUCUAAGAGGUGGCGAAGGCUUUUGUGAUAAGUUCGAACAAUGAGCUUAGGAUCCAACAAGUAAGACCGCCAAUGAUUGAUAGCAAGCGCAAGAGCCAUAAGUUCCUUUUCGUAGGCAGAGUUAGAAAGAGUUCUAGCUAAUAAAGCUUUACUGUAAUAAGCAAUGGGUUUCCCCUAUUGCAUCAACACUGAUCCUACUCCACAUCCACAUCCUGAUGCAUCACAUUCGACAUCAGAAGUUUGUUGAAAAUAUGGCAUCACUAAAACUGGAGCAGUGAUGAUGGCAGAUUUCAACUUGUUAAAAGUGUUUUGAGCAGUAGAAUCCCAGACAAAAUGCUGUUGACUAUCCUUAGCCUUGAGCCUAUUCUGAGGCUGUGCAAAUCGACUGAACAAGACGAUGAUAGUAGCCGGUGAGUCCAUGGUUUUAAAUAACGGAUUUUGGGGGGCCGUUACCCGUUAUCCCGUUAUAUAAUGGCCCCUCCUGAUUUGUAGGCGUAAUGGCCAUUACGGCCGUUACGCAACGGUAACGACCGUUACCAAUAAUUAAAAUAUCUUUUGCUCCAUUCUCAUUUUCAUUAGUUUCUAUAUUUUUCAGCAACUUCAAAAACUAUAUUUUUUAAGUUUUCUCUUCCCUUUCUCUUUCAAAUUUCAAUCUUUCCUGCAUAUUUCUCAUAUAAACUUAGAUCCAUUAUAAACGACUUUAUUUCCAAGCUUAUUUCUUCUAAAAAGUUAGUUAAAUUUAAUCUAUUUUAAUUUUUAAUUGUUGUUUUUUUUUCCUUUUUAUUUGUAAGUUUUUGUGGAUUAAAGUGUUAGUUUUGAGUUAAAAUUAUAUUUUGAGCUAUUAGUUUACUCGAUCUAUAAAGAUUAUGUUGAUUUUUCUUAUUUUAAACUAUAUGAUGUUUAAUCUAUAUUUUAUAUAUUUAUAUUUAUUAUGCAUUUGUAUACAUUGUUCUAAAUUAAAUCUAAUUAAUAUCAUGUUAUUUAUGAACUUUACAAAUUUUUUAAAAAAAUUUGCGUAGCACCAGACCAUUACCGUUACGUUACGGCCGUUAUAGGUCUGUUUCCGUUACCUGCGACUACGAUCGCGAACGUGGCCGCGACCGUGAUUUAAAACCAUGGGUGAGUCCCAAAAGUCCCCUAUCAGCCUUGACUAAAGAAGAAACCGGCCAACGUAAAAUUGCCGAGAUCUUAUCCGGAUCCAUGGACACUCCUCCGGUAAAAAUCAAAUGGCCCAAAUAAGAGAUGGACUGUUUACCAAAAGAACAUUUUUCAUGUUGGCUACCAAGUAAUUAAAAGAUAAUAGUGUAAGGACCUGAUCAACAUGAAAUAAGUGAUCCUUCUAAGAAUGACCGUAGACCAGUAUGUUGUGGACAAGAACAAAGCGGCGAAGAAAAGGCCAAAAUAUGUCAUUCAUUGUGGCCUGAAAUGUUGUUGGCGCAUUGGUCAAACCAAAUGAUAUCACAAGAAAUUCAUAGUGCCUGGAGUGGGUGCAGAAUGCUAUAUUAGGAAUAUCCUCAGGCUUCAUAUGGAUUUGGUGGCACCUAGUUCGUAAAUCGAUCUUAGAGAAGUACUUGGCAUUAUAGAGUUCAUCCAGUAGUUCCUGGAUAAUUGGAAUGGGAUAUCGAUAAGGAAUUGUGGCUUUAUUUAACUGUCGAAAAUCCACUAAAAAAUGCUAGCUACCAUCCUUCUUGCAGACCAACAAUACUGGGCUGGAAAAAGGAGAAGAACUAGAACAUGCAGACCAACAAUACUGGGCUGGAGAAAGGAGAAGACAUAUAAUACCAGCAGCCAACAUAUCCGAAACCAACCAUUCUAUUUCAUUCUUUUGAUAAUGGCUGUAUCAAUAGGGCUUAACUGAGAUAGCCUUCACCCCAGAUUAUAAAGGAAUGGUAUAGUUAGAAGGUCGGCAUGGGGGCAAUUCAUGUGGUUCAGCAAAAACAACAGAAAUGGAAUGGAUCCGUAUCAUUCUCUCAUUUUUUAGAAAAGAUUCAUCAUCAAAUCUUGCUCAUGUUCAUAUCAGGAAUGGAAGUUUUAGGAACUAAUGUAUCUUCAAAGACCUCAUCUUAAAUAGGUGGUGUUGCUCCAACCCAGAUGGCUGGUUUCAGGAUGGCUAUGUUCUGGCUCGCCCAUUCCAAGCCAGGAGUUGAAUCAAGAGACUCAGUCGAAAGUUGGAGUUUCUUUGCCCAUUCCAAAUGUGAGAUUCACCUGCCUGUUUAGAUGUGGGAUGUGUCCCGCAUCCAAGCAGGCAGGUGAAUCUCACACUCUCCCCUGCUAAACUUGUGACGUCCUCGUCACAACUGAAUCGAAUACAAUUGCUAAAUCAGGAUUGGACCCUUAAGUAUUGUAGUUCGCUAGUACCUCGGGCGGCUCCACCUCAUCUCUCACGGCUACAGCCCUUUCCUCGCAGGUCCACUAGCUCUACAUAAUUUAUCUGACCUAGGGUGGCUCUGAUACCAUGUAGAAGAAUAAUAUUUUGUUAUUGUAUUUCACAAUAGAUAUUACAACCUAUUUAUAUAUGAGAGGCGAUAUCUAAACAGGAAGAAAAAUCAAACCUAUAAUUAUACAAUCUCUAAGAUUAAGCACUAUUCCUAUAUUAACAUAUUUACUUCCUAUAACCUAUAAUAGGUGGAAAUAACAUGAAACUCUUUUCAUGGAUGUUCUCAUCAACAACUUGCACAUCAAGAAUAAAAGAAUUAGGCAUAAUAAUGUUAGUCAUAGAAUGAUCAUGUGGAUGUGACUCAUUCUCCUUUACAACUUCUAAAACAGC
RNAcentral lists this long non-coding RNA (7666 nucleotides) under Manihot esculenta (cassava). RNAcentral's name for it is "long non-coding RNA (MESC_LNC001478)". The record is from RNAcentral. Lineage: Eukaryota; Viridiplantae; Streptophyta; Magnoliopsida; Malpighiales; Euphorbiaceae.